CCCAGAUGCCCGAACGUUAGAGGAGGGUUUUUACCAGGAGAUAACCUUCUCCAAAGCUGCAAUUUCCACGUGUCCACACCACAUUAUCCACCUGUAAUAUUUUCCUAUUUUGUCACUCAUUUUUUCCAUGGCACAUUUGCGAAGAGCUGAUCACAGAGCGGCAGUGUCUUUAAUCAGACUCUACGGGCUGUAAAGUGAGAGAAUCUAAACGUGACGUCAAUGCCUAGUGACUGACGCAGCCCUUCAACGAAAAAAAAAACUGGCUUUUUAUUUAUUAUUUUCUUCUUCUUCUCGUCAGCAUAGCUUAAUUACUACAUUUUACAGUGCUCUGUCGACUAACAGAAAAAAUAAAAUUCGGCAGGCAGCGUCGGGUUAUCUGCAUACAUCAGUAUUUGGACCUAUUUUGCGUUCAUGAGUUUUAGCUGCUGAAGUGACACUGGGACGAGAAGCUUCUGAAGAGGGCGACAAGACAUCACAUAUUGUCCAUGAUAUUGGCAGCGACGACGACUUCCAGAUUGUAGUUGCAGAGGCUGAAAGUGUGUUUUAAGGAAGCGAAUGAGGUGGUGCUGCUGUUGAAGGCACAUUGGGUUCCUAAAAAAAGAAAAAGAAUCACUGCAAUGAUGCAACGGAGGGGAAUCGGGGCUCUUGUGCAGAGUUGGAGAGGCAAAAUUAAUUGACAUUACAUGCACUUCACGUAACGUUCCUAAGCGAUGCCUUUUGUCAGUGUGUUUUUUUUAAUUUUUUUCUCCUUCGUACUGAGACCUAAAAAUAGCAUCAUAGUUUUGAUCGUGCGCCAUAAAUAGACAGACGGGUAUCACUUGUAUAAAAAGGGAGGCGAUCCUGAGCAAACUUGGACGUGCCACUUUCAGAACAAGGACGUGCCUGCACGACGGAGAGAACAAUGGCAACAAAAACAAGAGCAAAGAUGGUGGUGAGGUGCCCGGGUGGACCCUGCCUCUGCUGUGGGAGCCUCCAGCUGUGCUCCGGGGAAAAAAGGGGGACACGCGUAUUGGAGGCUUUUCACCAAGGAGCACAGAGAGAAAGGGAGGGAGAGAGAGAGAGACCCACCUUCCUCCUCCUCCUGCUGCUUGUCGUCCCCUCUUCCUCACCCCGAGAAAGGGGCCCGAGGUGA
Molecule: long non-coding RNA, 1132 nt
Filed under: Cottoperca gobio
Lineage: Eukaryota; Metazoa; Chordata; Actinopteri; Perciformes; Bovichtidae
Description: lncRNA (ENSCGOG00000005469.1)
Source: RNAcentral